Molecule: ribosomal RNA, 1378 nt
Filed under: Macrophthalmus darwinensis
Lineage: Eukaryota; Metazoa; Arthropoda; Malacostraca; Decapoda; Macrophthalmidae
Description: 16S ribosomal RNA
Rfam family: Archaeal large subunit ribosomal RNA (bases 633-1378)
Source: RNAcentral
AAGUAAUCUUUAACGUUAAUAACUUGUUUGAAAUGAAAUAUGACAAAAAGUAAUAUGAAAAAUAUUUUUAUUUUUGUAUAAAGAAGUAAAGUUGAGUGAAAGAUUAAUAAUUAAACUAUAGUGAAAAGUACUGUGAAGGAAAGUAAUAAAAUUUUAUAAAGUAAAAAUUAAGGUUUGUAUCUUGUGUAUCAGAGAAAACUUAUAUAAGUUAAGUAUAUUAAUCAUCUCGAAAUAAAGUAUAGCGAUUUUUAUAAGAUUUUCUUUUUGGAAAAAAAGAAUUAAAUAUAAAAUUUAAAGCGAAAUGCUAGAUGAGCUUUAUUAUAUCUAGUUUUUUUAAAAAUAAAUUAAAUUUAAUUUUUACAAUUAAGUUUUGUAAAACUAAAUGGUAGGAGGGAUUAGCUUCUUAUGGAAAAUAAAAUUAAAGAGUUAAAUAAAAUUAUAAUUAUAAGUUAGGCUUAGAAGUAGUCAUAUUUAUAAAGUGUUUUAACUAAGUUUUUAGGUGUUAAAAUAUUUUUAAAAACUUUUUUAUGGUAUAAAAAAAUUUAUCUGAAUUAGAAAGAAUAAAAUAUAAUGGUUUUAUUAGUAAAAUUUUUUUAGAAAAAAAAAAGUAAAAUACUUAAAAAAGUUUAAUAGGUCAAAUAUCAAUAUAAAGGAACUCAGCAAAAAAUUUCUUUGCCUGUUUAUCAAAAACAUGUCUUUUUGUAGAUAAAAAAAGUCAAGCCUGCCCACUGAUAAUUUUUAAGGGCCGCGGUAUUUUGACCGUGCGAAGGUAGCGUAAUCAUUAGUUUUUUAAUUGGAAUCUUGUAUGAAUGGUUAGACAAGAGAAAAUCUGUCUCUUUAUUGAAAAUUGAAUUUAACUUUUAAGUGAAAAGGCUUAAAUUAUUUAAAGGGACGAUAAGACCCUAUAAAGCUUAAUAUAGAUAGUUGUUUAAUUAAAUUAAAGAUAAAAGUUUUACAAUCUAAAUUAUUUUAUUGGGGCGAUAAGGGUAAAAUGUUUUGUAACUGCUUGUAAAAGGAAACAUAUUAGUUGAAAUAAAUUUUUAAAAGAUCCUGAUUAGGGAUUAUAAGUUUAAGUUACUUUAGGGAUAACAGCGUUAUUUUUUUUGAGAGUACAUAUCGAAAAAAAAGUUUGCGACCUCGAUGUUGAAUUAAAAUUUCUUUAUAGAGGCAGAAACUAUAAAAGUUGGUCUGUUCGACCUUUAAAAUUUUACAUGAUUUGAGUUCAAACCGGCGUGAGCCAGGUUGGUUUCUAUCUUUUAAUAGAAAAGAAAUUAUUUUAGUACGAAAGGAUUAAAUAGUUAAAAUUUUUUUUUAGUUGGAACUAUUUUGGCAGAUAAUAUGUGUUGGAUUUAGGAUCCUUUGAAAUAGAUAAAUUCUA